Molecule: long non-coding RNA, 1706 nt
Organism: Sarcophilus harrisii (Tasmanian devil)
Lineage: Eukaryota; Metazoa; Chordata; Mammalia; Dasyuromorphia; Dasyuridae
Exons: 3
Source: RefSeq, a predicted model, not a curated record
ACAUAGUUGAAAGUGUGUGCCUCCAUAGUUUAUAAAAUAACAGAACCUCCUGCUUCAGAAAUUUUGCCGUCCUGUAGAACUUGUUCCUCUUAGUCCUAAUUUUGUCUAUUGUAACAUAUAAUCAGAGACCCCUGAAAUAUAUACUAGGACACAGCCUCCAUUCCUCAUCAGGAAGUAUUGGUUAGGAAAAAUGUCUUCAUUGAUAGCACCGAAGAGGACUUGUCAUGUCUUCUAGUUCAUCUUGUAGUCUGUUGUCAGUAAGCAGUAAGAUAAUUAACUUACAGCUAAGACUUCUCAGCUAUCCUGGAUAUGGUGUCUUUAUUUCAGCUUUGUGGUUUGGCCUCCUGAAUUAUUUGGAGCUUCCACCAGGCUCUGCUAGACUUUGGUGGGCAUAAGCAGGAAGUACCAGUUGCAGGAAAUACCAGCAGAUAAGAAAGCUAUGAUCUGUUUUCUGGGCCAGGUCUUUUUUCCUAAAGCACUAUCACCACCCAAAUAGCCUGCAUAAUCAGUAAAUAGAUGCUAAACAACUGCUGUGUACAUCUUUCUAUUAACAAUCUUAAGGGAAGUCUGAUCAUCAAACAAAUAGCCCAAUGCUAGAGAUGAGUUUUCAUCUUCUGCCCCAUGCGCUAAAGUGCUGCAUCUCCUUCUCAGCAGGCUAGCCAUAGUUGUCUCUUCUGAGGACCCUCUUCGAAUAUUCAAGAUGCCUCGCCAUCAGGACUUGGUGGCUCUUCAGGGUAAAAGUCAGCACUAGUCCUAGAGGUGACUGAGAGGGAGAUGAGGUCGGCUAUAUUGGAGAAUUAAGGAAAAUGAGCAAGGGAAUUUGAGGAGGGGAACUUUCCAUUUUGUCUUUGCACACAGUAGGUGCUUAAAAAUACUUUUGUGGUGUUAUGUGUAUGUUUCACAAGGUUAUGCUUAGUUCUUUAAGUUAAGCUGAAUAAUAUUUCUUUUAUCAGCCAAGGCCUCCUGGCACACAGAAAUGCUUCAAUGCUGCCUGUGAAAACUUGAGCAAAUUAUGUUGCCUCUCUUAGUCUCAGUUUUCUCGUGUGUAAAUUCAGGAAAUUAGACAAAAUGGUCCAUUUUGGUUAUAAAGUUAAUAAUUCAAUGCCUGACAGUGCAGUGUAAUAAGAGAGCAUUAGUUACUGGAAGUCAGAGUCCUGACUCCAGCUCAGCCAGUGAUUAGCUUUUAACUAUGUGUGACUUUUAGCUUUUAGCUGUGUAUGACUUUUAGCUUUUAACUAUGUAUGACUUUUAACCAAGUCUCUCUGUUUCUCUGAGCCUGUUUUCCCAUUUAUAUAAUGAGGUUAGUUUAGUUAGACUCUUAGGUGUGACAUUUUGUAACUGGGCCAAAUAGUAUCAUAGAAGUUUAGAGCAGGAAUGACAAUAAUUUAAUUAAAUUAAGUAAUUUAAGAUUUAUAAAGCAAUUUACAUAAAUUCUAUCAUUUGAUCCUCAUAAUAAUUUUGUGAGUUAUGUGAUAGACCUAUUUUCCAGAUGAAGAACCUCAGGCUGAGAGGCAUUAAGUGACUUUCCCAAAUUGUAUGUAUACCUAGUAAUUAUCUGAAAAGGAAUUUGAAACCCAGCUCUUCAAGACUGAACACCUACUGCUCUACAGAAAAUCCCAAGAUUUAUGUCUGAAUCUUAUUUUUCUAUACACAUAUUUUUUUGCCUUGGUACCCCUCUUCCUUCCCAGCCCAAGGCUCACAUUACG